This 100-nucleotide transfer RNA is filed under the name Microbacterium dextranolyticum. RNAcentral's name for it is "tRNA-Leu". The record is from RNAcentral. Lineage: Bacteria; Bacillati; Actinomycetota; Actinomycetes; Micrococcales; Microbacteriaceae.
GGGCUGAUCGGGGCGCUCGGCGGGCCCGCCCGUCGCCGAGGACGUCGGCGACGGCGCCGCGGACGGUGUCGCCACGUCGGUCCCCGCGCUGUCGGCCGGC